GAUGAACGCUGGCUACAGGCUUAACACAUGCAAGUCGAGGGGAAACGGCAUUUGGUGCUUGCACCGAAUGGACGUCGACCGGCGCACGGGUGAGUAACGCGUAUCCAACCUUCCCGUUACUGCGGGAUAACCUGCCGAAAGGCAGACUAAUACCGCAUGUUCUUCGAUGACGGCAUCAGAUUCGAAGCAAAGAUCCGUCGGUAACGGAGGGGGAUGCGUCUGAUUAGCUAGUUGGCGGGGCGACGGCCCACCAAGGCGACGAUCAGUAGGGGUUCUGAGAGGAAGGUCCCCCACAUUGGAACUGAGACACGGUCCAAACUCCUACGGGAGGCAGCAGUGAGGAAUAUUGAUCAAUGGGCGGAAGCCUGAACCAGCCAAGUAGCGUGCAGGAUGACGGCCCUACGGGUUGUAAACUGCUUUUAUGCGGGGAUAAAGUGAGGGACGCGUCCCUUUUUGCAGGUA
Molecule: ribosomal RNA, 462 nt
Filed under: Prevotella sp. oral taxon G57
Lineage: Bacteria; Pseudomonadati; Bacteroidota; Bacteroidia; Bacteroidales; Prevotellaceae
Description: bacterial SSU rRNA
Rfam family: Bacterial small subunit ribosomal RNA
Source: RNAcentral